Molecule: ribosomal RNA, 458 nt
Filed under: uncultured bacterium
Lineage: Bacteria
Description: partial 16S ribosomal RNA
Rfam family: Bacterial small subunit ribosomal RNA
Source: RNAcentral
CCUACGGGUCGCAGCAGUGAGGAAUAUUGGUCAAUGGGCGAGAGCCUGAACCAGCCAAGUCGCGUGAGGGAGUACUGCCCUAUGGGUUGUAAACCUCUUUUGUCGGGGAGCAAAAGCCGGACGUGUCCGGCUUUGAGAGUACCCGGAGAAAAAGCAUCGGCUAACUCCGUUCCAGCAGCCGAGGUAAUACGGAGGAUGCGAGCGUUCUCCGGAUGUAUUGGGUUUAAAGGGUGCGCAGGCGGAUUUUUAAGUCAGCGGUAAAAUCGUGGGGCUCAACACCAUCCAGCCGUUGAAACUGGGGAUCUAGAGUGUGCGAGAGGUAUGCGGAAUGCGUGGUGUAGCGGUGAACUGCAUAGAUAUCACGCAGAACCCCGAUUGCGAAGGCAGCAUACCGGUGCACAACUGACGCUCAGGCACGAAAGCGUGGGUAUCGAACAGGAUUAGAUACCCGAGUAGUC